This 360-nucleotide long non-coding RNA is filed under the name Capsicum annuum. RNAcentral describes it as "long non-coding RNA (CANN_LNC013164)". The record is from RNAcentral. Lineage: Eukaryota; Viridiplantae; Streptophyta; Magnoliopsida; Solanales; Solanaceae.
AAAAAAAAAAAGAGAAAUUGAACAAUUAUCCUAAUCUAACUACCCUACUCUAUCUGUAUCCAACUUCUCUCAACCUCUCUCCCCAUCAGCAUAUAAAUUCCCAACCCCCAGACAAAACAAGGAUGAACGGAUCAACACUAUCAGAAACUGAGAAAAGAAAAACACAGAGAUAAAAAAAAAUUAAAACAGAGAGUGAAGCACUAAAAAAACAUCAGACAAAAAAGAGAAGAAAGAGUUCUGAAUUGAGUUUCAAGUUUCCGUUUGAGUUUUCGGUGAUAACGUUCUUACUUUGAUAUUCAUUUAAUUCAUCACAUGGGUUCUUAUCCCAUUUGUAUUAUUAUUUCAUAAGUUUUAUUGUUA